AACCCAUACUGAGGACAUUUCCACAGCAGAUCCUUGAACAUAUCACAUAUCUUAAAAAGAGACUCCAAAUUUGUUUGCAGAAAAAAGAAUAUUUCAUUCCUGAGCUU
This is a small nucleolar RNA of Dioscorea cayenensis subsp. rotundata (Guinea yam), 107 nucleotides long. NCBI's taxonomy places the organism in Eukaryota, Viridiplantae, Streptophyta, Magnoliopsida, Dioscoreales, Dioscoreaceae. The record is from RefSeq and is a predicted model, not a curated record.